Molecule: long non-coding RNA, 1197 nt
Organism: Loxodonta africana (African savanna elephant)
Lineage: Eukaryota; Metazoa; Chordata; Mammalia; Proboscidea; Elephantidae
Exons: 3
Source: RefSeq, a predicted model, not a curated record
UUCAAGUGAUACCUUAUCUUACCUUGUGUUAUUAAUGAAUUUUUUCCUUUCUUUUAGUCAUCAAACUAUUUAAGAAUAUAAUAGACUCAGUGGAAUUUGUGCUACCUUAUGAAUAUGAUACAAGCAUGUAUAAAAGUUUGUGUAAAAUCUUAUGAUCCAGCAAAUGAAGACCAAAAGAACAAGCUGACCUUUUUGAAGAAAGGAAUGCAACACAGUCAUCAACAUCAGUGAUGAGGACCCUGAAACGCAGAGAAGUUAAGCGACUUGACCAGUCAUACACUUAGUAAGUGGCAGAAGUAGGAUUCCAACUCAAAUCUCUUUAGCUUUGAAGUCCCAAUCACACUGUUUGAAAUCUAUCUUGUUCUCAAACUGUCUCCUGCUGGACCUGAGGGUAACAGAAGUGACUCAGGGGCUGCCAUGGAGGCUAACGAAGAGGCUGAGUUGGCAUGGUAGAGCUCACCUAUUUUGUAUGGGGGGCCUGGACAUGAUCACUGAUGGGCGGGGGAAAAGAGAGGGUGGAGUAUAGGUUGACUCCCAGGUUUCUGGCUUGGUAGUCACGGUAGAUGGUGGUACUAUUGUUUUUUUUUCCAGAAAAAAAAAAGGACUGGUGUUUCUUAAAUUCCAGUCAUUCAUGUACCAUGUUGAUGAUUUUUGCCAUAUCCAAGGACACCUUUAUUAUUAUUUAUCUCUUUAAAAAAAUCCAUUAUUUAACAUAAAUAUAUUUAGAAAGGAAAUUAUAAUAUUCCCCCAAUUACAGGUUUACUGUACUAUUUACAUUUUUAUUAAUCUCAUUAAACAACAAUUUUGAAUUGUUAUUGUUAGGUGCUGUCAAGUUGGUUCCAACUCAUAGCAACCCUGUGCACCACAGAACAAAACACUGCCCAGUCCUGCACCGUCCUCACAAUUGUAGUUAUGCUUGAGCCCAUUGUUGCAGCCACCGUGUCAGUCCAUCUUGUUGAGGGCCUUCCUCUUUUUCGCUGACCCUCUACUUUACCAACCAUAAUGUCCUUCUCCAGGGAUUGAUCCCCCCUGACAACAUGUCCAAAAUAUGUAAGAUGCAGUCUCACCAUCUUUGCUUCUAAGGAGCAUUCUGGUUGUACUUCUUCCAAAACAGAUUUGUUUGUUCUUCUUGCAGUUCAUGGUAUAUUCCGUAUUCUUGGCCAACACCACAAUUCAAAGGCAUCAAUUGUUUGGCCU